AGGUUGGUGACUGAGUAAAGUGAAGCACUGUAAAUGCUUAUAUGGUCUGUGACCCCAACCUA
RNAcentral lists this transfer RNA (62 nucleotides) under Hoplopleura edentula. Its description in RNAcentral is "tRNA-Tyr". Lineage: Eukaryota; Metazoa; Arthropoda; Insecta; Psocodea; Hoplopleuridae. The record is from RNAcentral.